AGGGCCGCGGUAAUUUGACCGUGCGAAGGUAGCAUAAUCAGUAGUCUUUUAAUUGGAGGCUUGUAUGAAUGGUUGGAUGAGGGACAUUCUGUCUCUUUUUUAAGGUAGAAUUUAACUUUUAAGUGAAAAGGCUUAAAUUUUUUGGAGUGACGAUAAGACCCUAUAAAACUUUAUACAUCUUUGUCUCAGUUGAAAAUUAAGUUUAACUUGGUUGUGGUUUAGUUGUAUUUCGUUGGGGAAACGUUGAUAUAAGUUGUAAUUGUUCUUGAAAUUUAAUAGUUGUGGCUAGGUUGUGAUCCUUUCUUGUGGAUUAAAAGAUUAAGUUACUUUAGGGAUAACAGCGUAAUUUUCUUUGAGAGUUCUUAUCGACAAGAGUAGUUGCGACCUCGAUGUUGAAUUAAAAUUUCGGGUUAGUGUAGCCGCUUGCCUAGUAGGUCUGUUCGACCUUUAAAUUUUU
RNAcentral lists this ribosomal RNA (457 nucleotides) under Typton wasini. RNAcentral describes it as "partial 16S ribosomal RNA". It matches the Rfam family "Bacterial large subunit ribosomal RNA", at positions 1927 to 2597 of the family's 2925-position model. The record is from RNAcentral. Lineage: Eukaryota; Metazoa; Arthropoda; Malacostraca; Decapoda; Palaemonidae.